CUGAGGUGGAAAGGACCACUUGAACCCAGGAGUUUGAGGCUUCAUGGCACGAUCUUGGCUCACUGCAAGCUCCGCCUUCUGGGUUCACGCCACUCUCCCGCCUCAGCCUCCUGAAUAGCUGGGACUACAGGCGCCUGCCACCACGCCCAGCUAAUUUUUUUUUUUUUUUUUUAGUAGAGACGGGGUUUCACUGUGUUAUCCAGGAUGGUCUUGAUCUCCUGACCUGUGAUCCGCCCGCCUCGGCCUCCCAAAGUGCUGGGAUUACAGGUGUGAGCCACCGUGCCCGGCCAUAAACUUGUGUUAUUUUAAGCCACUAAGUUUGUGAGAAUUUUCUGUGGCACUAAUAGGAAAAGAAUACACAGAUCAAUAAAUCCAAUCCCUGAGUCAGUAGGUCUCAUAUUUAGCUGCACCUUAGAACCACCUGGGGAUCUUUUACAACUCCCAGUGCCCAGGCCACACCCAGACAUUAAAAUAGUAUCUUGGGGUAGGACCCAAGCAUCAGAAGUUUAAAGUUCCACAGGUGUUUCCAACAGCAAGGCUGAGAACUGCUUCAGGCUAACCAUAUGGAAUAGCUCGCUUCCUUGCCUCAUGGUAACUGGGAGCCCUAGUGGUAGGGGG
Molecule: long non-coding RNA, 618 nt
Filed under: Homo sapiens (human)
Lineage: Eukaryota; Metazoa; Chordata; Mammalia; Primates; Hominidae
Description: HSALNT0036138
Source: RNAcentral